AGACUUUGAGAUACCAUGUCUGUAGAGAUUUGCUACACAGCUGCUGUCAGAAGAGCUGCCUCUGUCCUCACCUGCAGCAGUGACACCUCUCCGCUCAGGAAGCAUUGCAAAUCCUUGGCACGAGCAACCAAAUGGCUACAGUCAGCAGUCCCUGGGAGCGCCCAGCUGCACAGCAGACAGCUAACAAUACGGCCAUGGCCCCUUGCUCAGGUGUGCCCUAAUGAGACUGUUCACCAAGACCAACAACCAGAAGAUCUAUAAGUCUAUAGUCCAGUUGGCCUGGUUGCUCAGUAGGUGGUUUUCAUGGUGUGUGAGUAAGCACCUGCAGACCCAUAAGAGACAAAGCAUAACAAAGGAUGACCAUGGCUACCUAACCAAGCUGCACUGCUAAUGCUACUGCGAAAGAAGCACUGUACUGUGUAGUUUAUUUAUGCUUUGCUUUACUGCAUGUGCCCUAAGAACAAAAACCAGACACCAGCAAUUCACUGCUGUAGGAUCCUCAGAAGAGAUAAAGCAUCCAGCAGAGUUCUCAAGCAUGCUGAACUCCUGCAGACAAGUGAGGACUGAUCAGGACUAAAACUGCACUAAAAUUUUCUCUCUAACACACUUUUUACAGCAUGGCCUCUUCUGAGACAGAGCUGAGCCCCCUGUUCCUAUAGCAGCAAGCAGAGGGCACAGACAAAGCCAUUCUCCUGAAUUCCCCCUUUCAUGUUGCAGCAACAAAGCAGCUCACAGGGAGCAGCAGGCAUCCUAAGAGGCUGUUCAAGGGCAGGACUGCUAAGUCCUGAGGGGACCUGUCACCUUAAACUGCCUGAGACCUGCAAGUCCUAAGCUAGUUCUUGCACAGCAUUAUGACUGCAGAACAGCUACUGCACUUUUGCAGCGAGCUCCCAUCCUCACAGUCCAGGGCUGCAGGGAUGCACAAACUUCACCAUGCCAAGGCCUGGAUGCUCCAUAAACCCAGCACGCAGUGGUGCAGUCACGAAGCCACAAGGAUCAGAGCAGUGCAGAAGGCACAGGAUUGCCACCAAGGACUGUGGAGGCAGAAGUACUCGAUUCACUCAAUAAAGGAUGAAAGUUGCAUCAACUCCAGAGACCCUACUCCAGGGCGUAGGACAAACCUCUUUUCAGCACUGAAUGUGGGGAGGACAGCCAGGAGCUGGCUUGAAGGCUGCUUGCACACCGGGGGGUCACAGCUUCGGCUCAGCAGGGCUGUUUGUUCUCUGCCUUGAUCUUCAUCCCUCAGCUGUGCUGAAAGGAAGUUUGUCCGAGACAAGCGUGUAUGGCACACAAUGUCAGCUCCAAAGCAAGCUGCGAGGAAACAGAUUGAGUUCUCUGUGCAAACCAACUGCAAAUCCAUUCCUUGGUGGCUUCACUUGUGGGACACUUCAAAGGCACCAAGCAUCCACGACGCAGCUGCUGCCCUGGGGAAGGAGUCGUUGAAUAGCAUCCGUGAAUGAGAAGUAAAAAUUAAGCAGUUAGAUUUGGCACGUGCAUCACAAUAAAGAUCCCUGAAUGCUUAGCUUCUUAC
Gallus gallus (chicken) is the source of this 1531-nucleotide long non-coding RNA. NCBI's taxonomy places the organism in Eukaryota, Metazoa, Chordata, Aves, Galliformes, Phasianidae. The record is from Ensembl.